UACCCUCUGGCAAUAGGCAAAGGGACACCUUGUUGGUGGUGGUGUUCUUAUAUCAGUCAAGGGCACAGCAGAUGGCAGUUCAUGCUAACUUGAUGCCUGGCUUGGUGUCCAAAGCUAUUUUAUACCUAAUACCUCUAA
This is a small nucleolar RNA of Meriones unguiculatus (Mongolian gerbil), 138 nucleotides long. RefSeq annotates it as small nucleolar RNA SNORA48. The record is from RefSeq and is a predicted model, not a curated record. The transcript has a single exon. Lineage: Eukaryota; Metazoa; Chordata; Mammalia; Rodentia; Muridae.